Molecule: transfer RNA, 73 nt
Filed under: bacterium
Lineage: Bacteria
Also listed under: 2 other names
Description: tRNA-Ile
Rfam family: tRNA
About the family: Transfer RNA (tRNA) molecules are approximately 80 nucleotides in length.
Source: RNAcentral
GGGCCCAUAGCUCAGUGGUUAGAGCAGGCGACUCAUAAUCGUUUGAUCGCAGGUUCGACUCCUGCUGGGCCCA